Molecule: ribosomal RNA, 1372 nt
Filed under: uncultured bacterium
Lineage: Bacteria
Description: bacterial SSU rRNA
Rfam family: Bacterial small subunit ribosomal RNA
Source: RNAcentral
GAUGAACGCUGGCGGCGUGCCUAAUACAUGCAAGUCGAGCGAACGGACGAGAAGCUUGCUUCUCUGAUGUUAGCGGCGGACGGGUGAGUAACACGUGGAUAACCUACCUAUAAGACUGGGAUAACUUCGGGAAACCGGAGCUAAUACCGGAUAAUAUUUUGAACCGCAUGGUUCAAAAGUGAAAGACGGUCUUGCUGUCACUUAUAGAUGGAUCCGCGCUGCAUUAGCUAGUUGGUAAGGUAACGGCUUACCAAGGCAACGAUGCAUAGCCGACCUGAGAGGGUGAUCGGCCACACUGGAACUGAGACACGGUCCAGACUCCUACGGGAGGCAGCAGUAGGGAAUCUUCCGCAAUGGGCGAAAGCCUGACGGAGCAACGCCGCGUGAGUGAUGAAGGUCUUCGGAUCGUAAAACUCUGUUAUUAGGGAAGAACAUAUGUGUAAGUAACUGUGCACAUCUUGACGGUACCUAAUCAGAAAGCCACGGCUAACUACGUGCCAGCAGCCGCGGUAAUACGUAGGUGGCAAGCGUUAUCCGGAAUUAUUGGGCGUAAAGCGCGCGUAGGCGGUUUUUUAAGUCUGAUGUGAAAGCCCACGGCUCAACCGUGGAGGGUCAUUGGAAACUGGAAAACUUGAGUGCAGAAGAGGAAAGUGGAAUUCCAUGUGUAGCGGUGAAAUGCGCAGAGAUAUGGAGGAACACCAGUGGCGAAGGCGACUUUCUGGUCUGUAACUGACGCUGAUGUGCGAAAGCGUGGGGAUCAAACAGGAUUAGAUACCCUGGUAGUCCACGCCGUAAACGAUGAGUGCUAAGUGUUAGGGGGUUUCCGCCCCUUAGUGCUGCAGCUAACGCAUUAAGCACUCCGCCUGGGGAGUACGACCGCAAGGUUGAAACUCAAAGGAAUUGACGGGGACCCGCACAAGCGGUGGAGCAUGUGGUUUAAUUCGAAGCAACGCGAAGAACCUUACCAAAUCUUGACAUCCUUUGACAACUCUAGAGAUAGAGCUUUCCCCUUCGGGGGACAAAGUGACAGGUGGUGCAUGGUUGUCGUCAGCUCGUGUCGUGAGAUGUUGGGUUAAGUCCCGCAACGAGCGCAACCCUUAAGCUUAGUUGCCAUCAUUAAGUUGGGCACUCUAAGUUGACUGCCGGUGACAAACCGGAGGACGGGGGGGAUGACGUCAAAUCAUCAUGCCCCUUAUGAUUUGGGCUACACACGUGCUACAAUGGACAAUACAAAGGGCAGCGAAACCGCGAGGUCAAGCAAAUCCCAUAAAGUUGUUCUCAGUUCGGAUUGUAGUCUGCAACUCGACUACAUGAAGCUGGAAUCGCUAGUAAUCGUAGAUCAGCAUGCUACGGUGAAUACGUUCCCGGGUCU